ACUACGUGCCAGCAGCCGCGGUAAUACGUAGGGGGCAAGCGUUAUCCGGAUUUACUGGGUGUAAAGGGAGCGUAGACGGUGUGGCAAGUCUGAUGUGAAAGGCAUGGGCUCAACCUGUGGACUGCAUUGGAAACUGGUCAUAUUGGAGUGCCGGGGGGGUAAGCGGAAUUUCCUAGUGUGGCGGUGAAAUGCGUAGUAUUAGGAAGGAACACCAGUGGGCGAGGGCCGCUUACUGGACGGUAACUGAGGUUGAGGCUGGAAAGCGUGGGGAGCAAACAGGAUUAGAUACCCGGUAGUCCACGCGGUAAAACGAUGACUACUAGGUGUCGGGUGGCAAAGCCAUUCGGUGCCGCAGCAAACGCAAUAAGUAAUCCACUUGGGGAGUACGGCCGCAAGGUUGAAACUCAAAGGAAUUGACGGGGGCCCGCACAAGCAGUGGAGUAUGUGGUUUAAUUCGAAGCAACGCGAAGAACCUUACCAGGUCUUGACAUCCUACUAACGAGAUAGAGAUAUGUUAGGUGCCCUUCGGGGAAAGUAGAGACAGGUGGUGCAUGGUUGUCGUCAGCUCGUGUCGUGAGAUGUUGGGUUAAGUCCCGCAACGAGCGCAACCCUUGCUAUUAGUUGCUACGCAAGAGCACUCUAAUAGGACUGCCGUUGACAAAACGGAGGAAGGUGGGGACGACGUCAAAUCAUCAUGCCCCUUAUGACCUGGGCUACACACGUACUACAAUGGACAUUAACAGAGGGAAGCAAUACAGUGAUGUGGAGCAAACCCCUAAAAAUGUUCUCAGUUCAGAUUGCAGGCUGCAACCCGCCUGUAUGAAGAUGGAAUUGCUAGUAAUCGCAGAUCAGCAUGCUGCGGUGAAUACGUUCCCGGGCCUUGCACUCACCGCCCGUCA
This 899-nucleotide ribosomal RNA is filed under the name uncultured bacterium. RNAcentral describes it as "bacterial SSU rRNA". It matches the Rfam family "Bacterial small subunit ribosomal RNA", at positions 500 to 1399 of the family's 1533-position model. The record is from RNAcentral.